Long non-coding RNA from Lutra lutra (Eurasian river otter), 551 nucleotides. RefSeq lists it as uncharacterized. The record is from RefSeq and is a predicted model, not a curated record. The transcript is spliced from 4 exons. NCBI's taxonomy places the organism in Eukaryota, Metazoa, Chordata, Mammalia, Carnivora, Mustelidae.
GAAGAGCACAAUGCCUCAUUCUUGGCAGGGUUGCUGGCGACCACUCCCAUCUGCAGAGUUGAUCAAAGUGUUCCCACUUCUUUCCUUAUUGAAUGAGAUCUUCACAAGGACUGAGAGGUAUCCAUUAAGGAUGGCUCCAAUGAGGAAGAAGCAAUAUUUGGAAGUCUGUGCAGCCCAUGAUAUGGGGGAAGCAGUGUCGUAGCCAACAGUCUGUCUGGAUUAAGAAUGGACAGAAAUUCCAAAUUAUUAAUGUGAUGUCACUGAACAUGGAGUUGGGAGGACAUGUGUAUGAUCAGCUCUUAUGAGCCAGCAUGAGCCAACUCCGGCACACCGCUGAUGAGCCUUACACUUCAUGCUCCAGAGUCUCUGGAAUGGUGUUCAAUGAGUUUAUUACUCCUGCUCUGUACUCAAGUACCCUGAGUUCCAUCAAUCAUUAAUAUGUCCUAGGUGCUGUGCAACACAAAAGAUGCUCCAUGUGACUCGAUUUCUGCUUUUUAGUUGGGAUAUUAUCAGAUAACUACGCUGAGAGGUAGGGAUUGGUAUGUGCUUUA